UAAAGUUGAAGGUGAGAGAGUGAGAGACGGCAGAGAAAACGACUGUCUCUUUCUCUGCCGUCUCUCGCUCUCUCACCUUCAACUUUG
This 87-nucleotide small RNA is filed under the name Caenorhabditis brenneri. RNAcentral's name for it is "sRNA CBN34374". Lineage: Eukaryota; Metazoa; Nematoda; Chromadorea; Rhabditida; Rhabditidae. The record is from RNAcentral.